This 491-nucleotide ribosomal RNA is filed under the name uncultured bacterium. Its description in RNAcentral is "partial 16S ribosomal RNA". It matches the Rfam family "Bacterial small subunit ribosomal RNA", at positions 30 to 507 of the family's 1533-position model. The record is from RNAcentral.
UUGAACGCUGGCGGCAUGCUUUACACAUGCAAGUCGAACGGUAACAGGCCUUCGGGUGCUGACGAGUGGCGAACGGGUGAGUAAUGCAUCGGAACGUGCCCAGAGGUGGGGGAUAGCGCAGCGAAAGCUGUGCUAAUACCGCAUGUGAUCUGAGGAUGAAAGCGGGGGACCAGGCAGCAAUGUUUGGCCUCGCGCCUUUGGAGCGGCCGAUGUCAGAUUAGGUAGUUGGUGGGGUAAAGGCCUACCAAGCCGACGAUCUGUAGCUGGUCUGAGAGGACGACCAGCCACACUGGGACUGAGACACGGCCCAGACUCCUACGGGAGGCAGCAGUGGGGAAUUUUGGACAAUGGGCGCAAGCCUGAUCCAGCAAUGCCGCGUGCGGGAAGAAGGCCUUCGGGUUGUAAACCGCUUUUGUACGGAACGAAAAGGCUCUGGCUAAUACCUGGGGCUGAUGACGGUACCGUAAGAAUAAGCACCGGCUAACUACGUG